GAUGAACGCUGGCGGCGUGCUUAACACAUGCAAGUCGAACGAAGCACUCUAUUUGAUUUUCUUCGGAAAUGAAGAUUUUGUGACUGAGUGGCGGACGGGUGAGUAACGCGUGGGUAACCUGCCUCAUACAGGGGGAUAACAGUUGGAAACGACUGCUAAUACCGCAUAAGCGCACAGGAUCGCAUGAUCCGGUGCGAAAAACUCCGGUGGUAUGAGAUGGACCCGCGUCUGAUUAGCCAGUUGGCAGGGUAACGGCCUACCAAAGCGACGAUCAGUAGCCGACCUGAGAGGGUGACCGGCCACAUUGGGACUGAGACACGGCCCAAACUCCUACGGGAGGCAGCAGUGGGGAAUAUUGCACAAUGGGGGAAACCCUGAUGCAGCGACGCCGCGUGAGCGAAGAAGUAUUU
This 410-nucleotide ribosomal RNA is filed under the name uncultured bacterium. Its description in RNAcentral is "bacterial SSU rRNA". It matches the Rfam family "Bacterial small subunit ribosomal RNA", at positions 28 to 418 of the family's 1533-position model. The record is from RNAcentral.